GAGUUUGAUCGUGGCUCAGGAUGAACGCUGGCGGCGUGCCUAACACAUGCAAGUCGAACGGAGUUUAUGAGGAAGAAGCUUCGGCGGAAUUCUUAUAAACUUAGUGGCGGACGGGUGAGUAACACGUGGAGAACCUGCCUCUUACCGGGGGACAGCAGUUGGAAACGAACUGAUAAUACCGCAUAAGCGCACGAGACCGCAUGGUCCUGUGUGAAAAGAUUUAUCGGUAAGAGAUGGCUCCGCGUCUGAUUAGCCAGUUGGCGGGGUAACGGGCCCACCAAAGCGACGAUCAGUAGCCGGCCUGAGAGGGUGAACGGCCACAUUGGGACGUGAGACACGGCCCACGACUCCUACGGGAGGCAGCAGUGGGGGAGUAUUGCACAAUGGAGGAAACUCUGAUGCAGCGACGCCGCGUGAGUGAAGAAGUAUUUCGGUAUGUAAAGCUCUAUCAGCAGGGAAGAAAGACCUCGAAAGAGGGGA
RNAcentral lists this ribosomal RNA (480 nucleotides) under uncultured microorganism. RNAcentral's name for it is "bacterial SSU rRNA". It matches the Rfam family "Bacterial small subunit ribosomal RNA", at positions 9 to 468 of the family's 1533-position model. The record is from RNAcentral.